UACAGAGGGUGCGAGCGUUGUCCGGAAUCACUGGGCGUAAAGGGCGCGUAGGCGGUUUUGUAAAGUCGGGGGUGAAAUGCUGCGGCUCAACCGCAGCGCUGCCUUCGAGACUGCAAGACUGGAGCACGGUAGAGGCGGAUGGAAUUCCCGGUGUAGCGGUGGAAUGCGUAGAGAUCGGGAAGAACACCAAUGGCGAAGGCAGUCCGCUGGGCCGUUGCUGACGCUGAGGCGCGACAGCGUGGGGAGCAAACGAGG
This 255-nucleotide ribosomal RNA is filed under the name uncultured bacterium. Its description in RNAcentral is "partial 16S ribosomal RNA". It matches the Rfam family "Bacterial small subunit ribosomal RNA", at positions 524 to 777 of the family's 1533-position model. The record is from RNAcentral.